CCCUGCUUUUGUGGGGUGCUCGAGUGGCGAACGGGUGAGUAACACGUGAGUAACCUGCCCUUGACUUUGGGAUAACUUCAGGAAACUGGGGCUAAUACCGGAUAGGAGCUCCUGCUGCAUGGUGGGGGUUGGAAAGUUUCGGCGGUUGGGGACGGACUCGCGGCUUAUCAGCUUGUUGGUGGGGUAGUGGCUUACCAAGGCUUUGACGGGUAGCCGGCCUGAGAGGGUGACCGGCCACAUUGGGACUGAGAUACGGCCCAGACUCCUACGGGAGGCAGCAGUGGGGAAUAUUGCACAAUGGGCGGAAGCCUGAUGCAGCAACGCCGCGUGCGGGAUGACGGCCUUCGGGUUGUAAACCGCUUUCGCCUGUGACGAAGCGUGAGUGACGGUAAUGGGUAAAGAAGCACCGGCUAACUACGUGCCAGCAGCCGCGGUGAUACGUAGGGUGCGAGCGUUGUCCGGAUUUAUUGGGCGUAAAGGGCUCGUAGGUGGUUGAUCGCGUCGGAAGUGUAAUCUUGGGGCUUAACCCUGAGCGUGCUUUCGAUACGGGUUGACUUGAGGAAGGUAGGGGAGAAUGGAAUUCCUGGUGGAGCGGUGGAAUGCGCAGAUAUCAGGAGGAACACCAGUGGCGAAGGCGGUUCUCUGGGCCUUUCCUGACGCUGAGGAGCGAAAGCGUGGGGAGCGAACAGGCUUAGAUACCCUGGUAGUCCACGCUGUAAACGGUGGGUACUAGGUGUGGGGUCCAUUCCACGGGUUCCGUGCCGUAGCUAACGCCUUAAGUACCCCGCCUGGGGAGUACGGCCGCAAGGCUAAAACUCAAAGGAAUUGACGGGGCCCCGCACAAGCGGCGGAGCAUGCGGAUUAAUUCGAUGCAACGCGUAGAACCUUAUCUGGGUUUGACAUGGAUCGGGAGUGCUCAGAGAUGGGUGUGCCUCUUUUGGGGUCGGUUCACAGGUGGUGCAUGGCUGUCGUCAGCUCGUGUCGUGAGAUGUUGGGUUAAGUCCCGCAACGAGCGCAACCCUUGUUCACUGUUGCCAGCACGUUAUGGUGGGGACUCAGUGGAGACCGCCGGGGUCAAC
Molecule: ribosomal RNA, 1079 nt
Filed under: uncultured bacterium
Lineage: Bacteria
Description: bacterial SSU rRNA
Rfam family: Bacterial small subunit ribosomal RNA
Source: RNAcentral